CAGCAGCCGCGGGAAAACGAAGGGGGCUAGCGUUGUUCGGAUUUACUGGGCGUAAAGGGCGCGUAGGCGGACUGAUAAGUCAGGGGUGAAAUCCCAAGGCUCAACCUUGGAACUGCCUUUGAUACUGUUUGUCUUGAGUUCGAGAGGGGUAAGUGGAACCGCGAGUGUAGAGGUGAAAUUCGUAGAUAUUCGCAAGAACACCAGUGGCGAAGGCGGCUUACUGGCUCGAAACUGACGCUGAGGCGCGAAAGCGUGGGGAGCAAACAGGAUUAGAUACCCCUGUAGUCCCUGUCUCUUAUAC
Molecule: ribosomal RNA, 301 nt
Filed under: uncultured bacterium
Lineage: Bacteria
Description: partial 16S ribosomal RNA
Rfam family: Bacterial small subunit ribosomal RNA
Source: RNAcentral